Non-coding RNA from Erinaceus europaeus (western European hedgehog), 333 nucleotides. NCBI's taxonomy places the organism in Eukaryota, Metazoa, Chordata, Mammalia, Eulipotyphla, Erinaceidae. The record is from Rfam.
GGAUGUGAGGGCGAUCUGGCUGAGACAUCUGUCACCCCACUGAUCACCAGGGUUGAUUGGGCUGAUCUGUCUGGCUAGGAGGGUGUCCCCUUCCUCCCUCAUUGCCCCGUGUGUGUCCCUUCCAAAGCUGCGCGCUUGGUCAAAGAGGAUGAUCUUCCCCAAAUAGAGACAGUUCGUCUUCUGCCAAGUGUGUAUGUGGAGCUGCACUCCCUUGCUAGAACCUCCAAACAAGCUCUCAAAGUUCAGAAGGAGAAUCUGUAACCCAGGAGGUAGCACAGUGAGUGAUUCUGAGGUAAGACCCCAGGCAUUUCAUGUGGCAGAGUGAUGCUCUAG